CGCGUGGGAAUCUGCCUUUAGGUUCGGAAUAACUCGGGGAAACUCGUGCUAAUACCGGAUAAUGACUUCGGUCCAAAGAUUUAUCGGCCAGGGAUGGGCUCGCGGCCUAUCAGCUAGUUGGUGGGGUAACGGCCUACCAAGGCGACGACGGGUAGCCGGCCUGAGAGGGCGACCGGCCACACUGGGACUGAGACACGGCCCAGACUCCUACGGGAGGCAGCAGUGGGGAAUAUUGCGCAAUGGGCGAAAGCCUGACGCAGCGACGCCGCGUGGGGGAUGAAGGCCUUCGGGUGGAAAACC
RNAcentral lists this ribosomal RNA (300 nucleotides) under uncultured Actinomycetales bacterium. Its description in RNAcentral is "bacterial SSU rRNA". It matches the Rfam family "Bacterial small subunit ribosomal RNA", at positions 114 to 431 of the family's 1533-position model. The record is from RNAcentral. Lineage: Bacteria; Bacillati; Actinomycetota; Actinomycetes; Actinomycetales.